AGAGUUUGAUCCUGGCUCAGAACGAACGCUGGCGGCGGGCCUCAUACAUGCAAGUCGAGCGCGUGUAGCAAUACACGAGCGGCGUACGGGUGAGUAACGGGUGGAUAAUCUGCCUCCGGGUGGGGGAUAACGGCUGGAAACGGCCGCUAAUACCGCAUACGGUGGCCGGCCUUCGGGCUGGUCAAGAAAGGGGCUUCAAAGCCUCGCCGGGAGAUGAGUCCGCCUCCGAUUAGCUAGUUGGUAGGGUAAUGGCCUACCAAGGCUUUGAUCGGUAGCCGAACUGAGAGGUUGAUCGGCCACACUGGAACUGAGACACGGUCCAGACACCUACGGGUGGCAGCAGUAGGGAGUAUUGCGCAAUGGGCGAAAGCCUGACGCAGCCACGCCGCGUGGAUGAUGAAGGCCUUCGGGUCGUAAAGUCCUUUUAUGAGGGAAGAACAGUCCGGUGAGGAAAUGCUCCGGAUUUGACGGUACCUCAGGAAUAAGCCACGGCUAACUCUGUGCCAGCAGCCGCGGUAAUACAGAGGUGGCUAGCGUUGUUCGGAAUUACUGGGCGUAAAGGGAGCGCAGGCGGCUAAAUAAGUCUGAAGUGCAAGCCCGGGGCUCAACCCCGGAAUCGCUUUGGAUACUGUUUGGCUUGAGUAUGUCAGAGGUGAGCGGAAUUCCAGGUGUAGCGGUGAAAUGCGUAGAUAUCUGGAGGAACAUCCGUAGCGAAGGCGGCUCACUGGGACAACACUGACGCUGAGGCUCGAAAGCGUGGGGAGCGAACGGGAUUAGAUACCCCGGUAGUCCACGCUGUAAACGUUGUGCACUAGGUGUGAGGGGUGUCUACCCCCUUCGUGCCGUAGCUAACGCAUUAAGUGCACCGCCUGGGGAGUACGGUCGCAAGACUGAAACUCAAAGGAAUUGACGGGGGCCCGCACAAGCGGUGGAGCAUGUGGUUUAAUUCGAGGCAACGCGAAGAACCUUACCCAGGCUUGACAUCCCAGGACCGCCUACGAAAGUAGGUUUUCUCUUCGGAGACCUGGAGACAGGUGUUGCAUGGCUGUCGUCAGCUCGUGUCGUGAGAUGUUGGGUUAAGUCCCGCAACGAGCGCAACCCUUAUCCCUAGUUACCAGCGGUUCGGCCGGGCACUCUAGGGAGACUGCCGGUGAUAAGCCGGAGGAAGGUGGGGACGACGUCAAGUCAUCAUGGCCCUUAUGCCUGGGGCUACACACGUGCUACAAUGGCCGGUACAAUGGGUCGCGAACCCGCGAGGGGGAGCCAAUCUCAAAAAGCCGGUCUCAGUUCGGAUUGGAGUCUGCAACCCGACUCCAUGAAGCCGGAAUCGCUAGUAAUCGCGCAUCAGCUACGGCGCGGUGAAUACGUUCCCGGGCCUUGUACACACCGCCCGUCACAUGACCCGAGUCGGGUGCACCUUAAGUCGCCGGCCCAACCGUAAGGAGGGAGGCGCCCAAGGUGUGCUUGGUGAGGGGGAUGAAGUCGAAACAAGGUAGCCGUAUCGGUAGGUGCGGCUG
This 1517-nucleotide ribosomal RNA is filed under the name metagenome. RNAcentral's name for it is "bacterial SSU rRNA". It matches the Rfam family "Bacterial small subunit ribosomal RNA". The record is from RNAcentral.